RNAcentral lists this ribosomal RNA (253 nucleotides) under uncultured bacterium. RNAcentral's name for it is "partial 16S ribosomal RNA". It matches the Rfam family "Bacterial small subunit ribosomal RNA", at positions 524 to 776 of the family's 1533-position model. The record is from RNAcentral.
UACGUAGGGGGCAAGCGUUGUCCGGAUUUAUUGGGCGUAAAGAGCGUGUAGGCGGUUUGGUAGGUCCGCUGUGAAAACUCGAGGCUCAACCUCGAGACGCCGGUGGAAACCAUCAGGCUAGAGUCCGGUAGAGGAGCAGGGAAUUCCAGGUGUAGCGGUGAAAUGCGUAGAUAUCUGGAGGAACACCGAUGGCGAAGGCAGGUCUCUGGGCAUUAACUGACGCUGAGGAGCGAAAGCAUGGGGAGCGAACAGG